Molecule: long non-coding RNA, 844 nt
Organism: Lactuca sativa (garden lettuce)
Lineage: Eukaryota; Viridiplantae; Streptophyta; Magnoliopsida; Asterales; Asteraceae
Source: RefSeq, a predicted model, not a curated record
UGAUUCGGUUAUUGUCGCACCAGGAACUUCAAGCAACUUCACACAAAACCCAACAGCUUUUGCCUUUUACUUUUAGUGGGUGGUUCAAAACACACGGUUCUUCCCUUCGCCACGCCGCCUCCGCCACCCUUCGAUUCGCUUCAUUCCUCCAUUUUUAUAGUAUCUUCAAGCUCCAUCGGCACCACAUACUCAUGCUAUACCGAUCGUAUGAGCUACAAUUGGCUUAAUUUUCUUCAAUUUGCAGAUUUUAGUUUUAACCACCGAACGCGUAACUGUUGGUGCUAUGGUAGAGCUUGAUUUUGCCAAAAUCGACGUCUGAUUUCCCAGAAAAACAACGAAGAUGGGUUCUGGUGAUAGAAUUCCUCAUUGGAGUGUCUUUGAUAAUGUGAAGAUGAUACCUUCAAAGCCCGAAUCUCUAAUGGCAACAAUCAAUUCGGGUAUUUCUUCUCUAGAGUAUGCCAAGGCUACGAAGCUUUUGAAUUCUUCAGUUCCUUUUUCGAAGGAUAAGAAGAGAAUUGAUGAUGAAAACCCUAAUUCCUCUUCUGUAUAUGAUGUCCGAAGAGCAGAUGAAGCUUAUAAAGAAGGACUCGCAUAUUUGGCUGCAGGUGAUCUUGAGGAGGCUUUUCAAUCCUUGAACUUGGCUCUUUCAAACUGCCCACCCACUAAGCCUGCGGUGGUUGCUAAGCUUCAGUCUCUUAUUUCUCUCACAGCUCAACGCCUUCAAAAUUCUCCCUCCUGAUUUUCAUUUGCUUUCUUGUAGUUUUAGUGAAAAUUUUUACUCAAGUUGCAUAUAUGUUAUGUUCUCAAAUUCUCAAAUAUAUUCAAUCUCCAGUUUUUCCCAUUA